CCAGCCUCCACAUUGUACAGAUUUGGAAACUGAGGCCAAGAGAGACCAAACCCUUUGCCCAGGUGGACACAGCUAGUAAGUGGUCUUCCUGUCACCAAGGCCAGCUCCCUGCCUGCCCACUCCACUCACAGCCUCUCACUAGUUCGGGGCUCCGCAUCUCUAAAAUGGGGGAGGGGCAAGAUGAAAGCAAAGCUCCUCCAUUCUAGGACUCUUCUCCCAAGAGACAGUUGCAGGCUACCAGCUGGGCUGCAGCGCCGUCCUCUCCCCACCCCCUCUCCUAGCGACACAACCCCGGUCUCCUUACGGAAGAUGUGUUGUACGUUUGAGAGGCAGAAGCUGGCCCCUUUGCAGGAUGGCCUCACUGGGCUGACCAUCCCAGGAAACUAGGCACCUGCUCACAAGACCCCCAAAGCCAGAGUCUUGGCAGUCGGGGAGCUGGGCUCCCUUCCGAGCACUGCCACCAAUUAGCUAACAAACAGGCGCAGGUCGCUUCCCCUCCUGAGCCUCGGAUCUCUCGGGAGCCCCAAGCAGAGAGAGCCCAGCCUCACACCCAAGGCGCAGCAUUUCGAGCUACAAAGGAGAGGUAGACUGAGGCCUGCCAUCCGGAAAGUGCCUUUCUACGAACUGUUGGGGCUGGAAGGGAUCCUGGAGAGCCACUCAUCUAGCAGACCGGGAAACUGAGGCUGCCAGGUGCAGCGACUUGUUCACCGCUGGGGCGGCCCAGUGCUUCGGCCCGCCCCCGGCAAAGGCCACGCCAGGAGGAAACUGAGGCAGCCCGUUCCAGUCGGGGACCGAAGAGGAUGGGAUGAUCCGAACCCUUUUCUGGGCCCUCGGGACUGCCCUUCGGGGCGAUCAGAACAGAGCAUCUAUCCGAGCGCCGGCGGCCAGAGCGAAUGGAGCUCCCAGAGGGAGAUGCAGGGUCCCCCCGCUGAAACGACUGCCACUGGACCGCAGCAGGAGGAAGGACUUCUGCUGGACCCCCAGCUCCCUCCCUUCAAAGCUCCACUCCUAACUGACCCAACGUUAGCGCCCCCCCCCACUUCUGCCUGCCUUCAAAUCCCACCCGUGGCACCUGUGUGUGACCUUGGGGGUGCCCUGACACCACCUGGGGCCUCCCUGUCCUCUUCUGUACCAUGAUUGGCCUCCGGGAUUCCUUCCAGGGCCAGAUCUAGGAUCCUAUCUCUGUCCGCUCCUGGCUUCCCUGGCCCUCCCAUGAAUGUAAGCCUUUGAGGUCAGGGACAGUUUUUAACUGUAUCCUCAACACUUUGAUUUUUGCAUAGUAGGUGUGAACUAACCAAUAAUUAUUCCUUAAAUCAAUCAAGGAGGGAACUUUGUUUAGAGCCUUAGAGAGCCAGCUUCCAGGGUGUCACUGGUGAUACAGAGUGACUAGGAUCUGAUCCCUGGCAAGUCACCCACUGGGUGUCCACCUGCAUUCACAGAAGUAGUUUCCCAUCUGGACAUUCCCUAUAUCAACCAAAUCACAGGUCCAGUCUGCACCCUCUCGAUCAACAAUACGCACUAUGUACCAGGCACUGUCCUAUGCCCUGGGGAUACAGAGACACACAAGAGACAGUGUCUGCCCCCCAGAAGCUUACAGUGUAACCAAGGAAGCCAACAUGGAAUCAGCUUUAUCCCCCCACCACCCCCUGCUAAGCCUAUCUCAGCACAGAGCAUGCUAGAAGAGUUUCAUAAUUUUCAGUGGCUACAUAGGGGUCUAUAGACAUAUACACACAAUAGAUACAAGAAGACAAUAUAUAAAUAUACAGCUCUGUGUGUGUAUGCACACAUACAUACACACACUCACACACACACACACACACACACACACACAUACUCAUAAUAGAUAAUAGAUACAAAGUGGUUUGGGGAGGUUGGCAGGGUCAGGAAAUCAGCUGUGGCUUCGUGUCCAACAUGCACUUUAGUUGAACCUGGAAGGAAACUACAGAUUCUGAGUGACUGAGAUGAGUGGGAAGGGCAUUCCUGGCAUGAGAAACAGGCAGUACAAAGACCUGGAGGUGGGAGAUGGAACAUCCUGCAUGGGGAACAGCCAGUAAUACAUCAAAUUGAAAUGGUAGGUUGGGGCUGGGCAGUGAAAGGAGGUGAAAUCUAAACAGAGGCGCUUGCUUAUAUUUGAUUC
RNAcentral lists this long non-coding RNA (2137 nucleotides) under Vombatus ursinus (common wombat). Its description in RNAcentral is "lncRNA (ENSVURG00010006085.1)". Lineage: Eukaryota; Metazoa; Chordata; Mammalia; Diprotodontia; Vombatidae. The record is from RNAcentral.